This is a non-coding RNA of Aegilops tauschii subsp. strangulata, 690 nucleotides long. Lineage: Eukaryota; Viridiplantae; Streptophyta; Magnoliopsida; Poales; Poaceae. The record is from RefSeq and is a predicted model, not a curated record.
CGAGCUGUAUGCACACAGGUACCAGCUACCAUCGCACGGGUAUAAAUACGGCAUCGGUGCAGGCAUUAGCUUCUCCAAGCACAGACAGAAGUAACACACGCAUCCUUCCUUGCUUCCUUUCUUCAACCAUGGCUCACCUCAGAAGCCUGGUUGCGUUCUUGUGCGUGAUGCUGGCCUCCCUCAUGUUCGUCGCACAGGCCGUGCUCGCCGCCAGAGGUGAUUUAAGCAACGUGAAGCGAGAUGGUGUGAGGGGAACCUGGGCGUCCCCUUCCUACCAGGUGCGGCCGGGGCCGCUCCCGCGCUAUCCUCCAAAGUAGGCUGGUGGCGAUCUAUGCCAAGGACGGGAAUACAAGUAUGCCGGUCAAGAGUAAUUUAGUUAUUUGUUACUGAGCAGUGAGCGUUCGAUGCCGAUAUAAAUAAAGAUACCAAAAUGCACGGUUAUGUUACUCCAUCCGUCUUAUAAUAUAAGAUGUUGCUACAAUCAUAUGUGAAUAAACAACACGGAGCAACGUGUGUGCCUUGCUGUGUGUGCCAUGUCCGGAGACUGUCCGACGCUGAGUCUAUUCGGGUCAUGUUCAAGCUAUUACUUAUUAGAAUCAUGACAUGAAGCCUGUCAUUGCGUUUUUUUACCACUACUUGUACCUUGAAUGAGCAGUACAAGAAGAAAAGGCUCAAUGAUUUUACACGGUC